GAUAAACGCUGGCGGCGUGCCUAAUACAUGCAAGUCGAGCGGGAUUGGCGGAUCGCAAGUGAAGCCAGUCUAGCGGCGGACGGCUGAGUAACACGUGGGUGACCUGCCUUGAAGUGGGGAAUAACGGUUCGAAAGAAUCGCUAAUACCGCAUACGAUCGCGGCUUCGUUGUCGCGAUGAAAGCCGUAAGGCGCUUCGAGAGGGGCCUGCGUCCGAUUAGCUAGUUGGUGGGGUAAUGGCCUACCAAGGCUCCGAUCGGUAGCUGGUCUGAGAGGAUGAUCAGCCAGACUGGGACUGAGAACGGCCCAGACUCCUACGGGUGGCUG
RNAcentral lists this ribosomal RNA (325 nucleotides) under uncultured Chloroflexota bacterium. RNAcentral's name for it is "bacterial SSU rRNA". It matches the Rfam family "Bacterial small subunit ribosomal RNA", at positions 28 to 351 of the family's 1533-position model. The record is from RNAcentral. Lineage: Bacteria; Bacillati; Chloroflexota.